RNAcentral lists this unclassified non-coding RNA (395 nucleotides) under soil metagenome. Its description in RNAcentral is "partial contains 5.8S ribosomal RNA, internal transcribed spacer 2, and large subunit ribosomal RNA". The stretch from base 1 to 121 matches the Rfam family "5.8S ribosomal RNA", at positions 35 to 154 of the family's 154-position model. The record is from RNAcentral.
GAUGAAGAACGUAGCGAACGUGCGAAACGUAAUGUGAAUUGCAGAAUUCAGCGAAUCAUCGAAUCUUUGAACGCAUCUUGCGCUCCUUGGUAUUCCGAGGAGCAUGCCUGUUUGAGUGUCGUGAAUACUCUCAACUUCAACCCUUUUUUCGGAAAGGGAGGAAGGUUGGACUUGGGUGUUUGUUGAAGUGCGAGCUUCGACUCAUCCUAAAUGCAUUAGCGAUCUGCCUCGAUCACACACAAUGUGAUAAUUAAAACUAAAGCAUUGUUUAAUGAUCAAGUCGAGACUGCUUCUAACUGUCGCAAGACAAUAACGUGCAUACAUUUGUGCAUGUCAUUUGACCUCAAAUCAGGUAGGACUACCCGCUGAACUUAAGCAUAUCAAUAAGCGGAGGA